AACGAACGCUGGCGGCAUGCCUAACACAUGCAAGUCGAACGAGACCUUCGGGUCUAGUGGCGCACGGGUGCGUAACGCGUGGGAACCUGCCCUUAGGUUCGGAAUAACUCCCCGAAAGGGGUGCUAAUACCGGAUAAUGUCUUCGGACCAAAGAUUUAUCGCCUUUGGAUGGGCCCGCGUUGGAUUAGCUAGUUGGUAGGGUAAAAGCCUACCAAGGCGACGAUCCAUAGCUGGUCUGAGAGGAUGAUCAGCCACACUGGGACUGAGACACGGCCCAGACUCCUACGGGAGGCAGCAGUGGGGAAUAUUGGACAAGGGGCGAAAGACUGAUCCAGCAAUGCCGCGUGAGUGAUGAAGGCCUUAGGGUUGUAAAGCUCUUUUACCCGGGAUGAUAAUGACAGUACCGGGAGAAUAAGCUCCGGCUAACUCCGUG
This 433-nucleotide ribosomal RNA is filed under the name uncultured bacterium. Its description in RNAcentral is "partial 16S ribosomal RNA". It matches the Rfam family "Bacterial small subunit ribosomal RNA", at positions 29 to 507 of the family's 1533-position model. The record is from RNAcentral.